Molecule: ribosomal RNA, 525 nt
Filed under: uncultured bacterium
Lineage: Bacteria
Description: bacterial SSU rRNA
Rfam family: Bacterial small subunit ribosomal RNA
Source: RNAcentral
GACGAACGCUGGCGGCGUGCCUAAUACAUGCAAGUCGAACGCUUCUUUUUCCACCGGAGCUUGCUCCACCGAAAAAAAAGGAGUGGCGAACGGGUGAGUAACACGUGGGUAACCUGCCCAUCAGAAGGGGAUAACACUUGGAAACAGGUGCUAAUACCGUAUAACAAUCGAAACCGCAUGGUUUCGGUUUGAAAGGCGCUUUUGCGUCACUGAUGGAUGGACCCGCGGUGCAUUAGCUAGUUGGUGAGGUAACGGCUCACCAAGGCAACGAUGCAUAGCCGACCUGAGAGGGUGAUCGGCCACAUUGGGACUGAGACACGGCCCAAACUCCUACGGGAGGCAGCAGUAGGGAAUCUUCGGCAAUGGACGAAAGUCUGACCGAGCAACGCCGCGUGAGUGAAGAAGGUUUUCGGAUCGUAAAGCUCUGUUGUUAGAGAAGAACAAGUAAGAUAGUAACUGAUCUUGCCUUGACGGUAUCUAACCAGAAAGCCACGGCUAACUACGUGCCAGCAGCCGCGGUAACAC